This 442-nucleotide ribosomal RNA is filed under the name uncultured bacterium. RNAcentral describes it as "SSU rRNA". It matches the Rfam family "Bacterial small subunit ribosomal RNA", at positions 26 to 518 of the family's 1533-position model. The record is from RNAcentral.
AGAACGAACGCUGGCGGCAGGCUUAACACAUGCAAGUCGAACGCUCCGCAAGGAGAGUGGCAGACGGGUGAGUAACACGUGGGAACGUACCCUUUACUACGGAAUAACGCAUGGAAACGUGUGCUAAUACCGUAUGUGCCCUUUUGGGGAAAGAUUUAUCGGUAAAGGAUCGGCCCGCGUUGGAUUAGCUAGUUGGUGGGGUAAAGCCUACCAAGGCGACGAUCCAUAGCUGGUCUGAGAGGAUGAUCAGCCACAUUGGGACUGAGACACGGCCCAAACUCCUACGGGAGGCAGCAGUGGGGAAUAUUGGACAAUGGCGCAAGCCUGAUCCAGCCAUGCCGCGUGAGUGAUGAAGGCCCUAGGGUUGUAAAGCUCUUUCACCGGAGAAGAUAAUGACGGUAUCCGGAGAAGAAGCCCCGGCUAACUUCGUGCCAGCAGCCGC